UGGGGAAUAUUGGACAAUGGGCGAAAGCCUGAUCCAGCCAUGCCGCGUGUGUGAAGAAGGUCUUCGGAUUGUAAAGCACUUUAAGUUGGGAGGAAGGGCAGUAAGCGAAUACCUUGCUGUUUUGACGUUACCGACAGAAUAAGCACCGGCUAACUCUGUGCCAGCAGCCGCGGUAAUACUGCAGGUGCAAGCGUUAAUCGGAAUUACUGGGCGUAAAGCGCGCGUAGGUGGUUCGUUAAGUUGAAUGUGAAAGCCCCGGGCUCAACCUGGGAACUACAUGCAAAACUGGCGAGCUAGAGUAGGGCAGAGGGUGGGAGAAUUUCCUGUGUAGCGGUGAAAUGCGUAGAUAUAGGAAGGAACACCAGUGGCGAAGGCGACCACCUGGGCUCAUACUGACACUGAGGUGCGAAAGCGUGGGGAGCAAACAGG
This 429-nucleotide ribosomal RNA is filed under the name Pseudomonadota bacterium. Its description in RNAcentral is "Proteobacteria bacterium partial 16S ribosomal RNA". It matches the Rfam family "Bacterial small subunit ribosomal RNA", at positions 355 to 776 of the family's 1533-position model. The record is from RNAcentral. Lineage: Bacteria; Pseudomonadati; Pseudomonadota.